AAAACAAAACAAAAUAGAACAAAAAAAACAAAACAGGAAACAAAGCUAGUCGUCUGUCUCUCUCCCCUUCCCCUCCCCUCUUUCCCCUCUAUCCUACCUUCCCCUCCCCCCUUGUUGUUUCUCUUCCAUCAUCAUAUUAUU
Molecule: non-coding RNA, 141 nt
Filed under: Paramoeba aestuarina
Lineage: Eukaryota; Discosea; Flabellinia; Dactylopodida; Paramoebidae
Source: RNAcentral